This 398-nucleotide long non-coding RNA is filed under the name Equus asinus (donkey). Its description in RNAcentral is "lncRNA (ENSEASG00005037864.1)". Lineage: Eukaryota; Metazoa; Chordata; Mammalia; Perissodactyla; Equidae. The record is from RNAcentral.
UAGGAAGAUUAGCCCUGAGCUGACAUCUGCUGCCAGUCCUUCUCUUUUUGCUGAGGAAGAGUGGUCCUAAGCUAACAUCUGUACCCAUCUUCCUCUAUUUUAUGUCUGGGACGCCUGCCACAGCAUAGCUCAGAAUUCAUCAUUUUGAAGAUACAAUUACUACUUCACUUUAACAAACAGGUGUUUUUCUUUAUGCUUCAUCAUUCCUGAUGAAAGGAACAAAACAAUAAAAAGAAAAGCUACAGGUUACUCUGAAGAGUCACCGAGUUUCUCAGGGGAGUGGUUGUCUUAGGUGGCGCUCUGACCAUAGCACUGAGAGCCACACUGGUCCAGUGAGUAAAGCAUGGCCCUUUGGAAUCAUAACAUGCUGGUACAUUUCUUUUCCCAUUGCUGCUCUC